UAUCAGAGCCAAGUUUCGAUCCUGGGACCUGUGGGUUAUGAGCCCACCACGCUUCCGCUGCGCCACUCUGAUUUUGCUUUGUUAGACUAUUAUAAAUUAU
This is a long non-coding RNA of Ipomoea nil (Japanese morning glory), 100 nucleotides long. RefSeq lists it as uncharacterized. The transcript is spliced from 3 exons. NCBI's taxonomy places the organism in Eukaryota, Viridiplantae, Streptophyta, Magnoliopsida, Solanales, Convolvulaceae. The record is from RefSeq and is a predicted model, not a curated record.